Long non-coding RNA from Onychostruthus taczanowskii (white-rumped snowfinch), 929 nucleotides. RefSeq lists it as uncharacterized. The record is from RefSeq and is a predicted model, not a curated record. Lineage: Eukaryota; Metazoa; Chordata; Aves; Passeriformes; Passeridae. The transcript is spliced from 5 exons.
CUGCCAUUUCCUAGCAACUUUCAAACUUGGGGGGAAAAAACCUAAACAAAACAACACAGAAAGAACUGCGGGGAAAUACAUAUGCCUACAAUUUAGAAGGCAGGCAAGUGAGUGCCAAACACGAAAGGCAGCUGGCUGAUUGCUAUCUGAAGCAUGGACCUUCCUGGACAUUCCAGCUUAGCAUUCCCUAAAGGAAAUAGGGAUGAAGAACAGCUGCGAUCACUGCUGGUGGUUCCAAACCUUCCUGUCACAGUGCUAACUCCAGAGAUCACAUCUUCAUGAGCAUGAUGGUAGUCACUUGACCAGCUUCUUCAGGUCAUUUGAAUUCUUAUGAAUAUAGCACCCUAUAGACCAAAAUGUGUGAAAAAUGCUUCAUGGGAAACAGCAGUACAGGCUUUCUCACACCAUCUUCACAACAUUGUCCAUCUGGAUUUGUUCAGAACAAAAAAACACAGGAAAUGCUGUUCCUUGUCCUGCCAGAGACACUGCCUCUUCUGUCAGUAGUACUUACAUUUUUGUCUACUUCUCUGCUGAUAAAAUUCCACUGAUGUCAACUAUAGCAAACAUUCAUGCUUGCUAAAUUUGUGAACAAGAAUGGAAUAAGUGCCACACUAAACAAACAAAAGUCAAUCAUCAAGGAAUAAAUGGGGGUUUUAGCCUGCUCAAAGAAAAGGCACAGAUGGAGAAACAGCUUUCACCAUUUCAGCCAUGAUGAAAUAUUUCAUGGUGGCUAUCAAAAUGCAAGAGUAAAAUUACAGACUUCCCUUUCCAUGGCAAAAAUAAGAAUGAUGAUGAAGAUGACUGAUGCAACCAGAUCUCAGGAUCAAUCUGAACUGGCAGCAUGCAAUUCCAGCACCUCAGAAUAUACUGCAGUAUACAGUAGACCUGGGAGUUCCACCUCAUACACUUCUACUUCGUCUUCCACGCCU